Molecule: transfer RNA, 76 nt
Filed under: Ruminococcus sp. YE282
Lineage: Bacteria; Bacillati; Bacillota; Clostridia; Eubacteriales; Oscillospiraceae
Description: tRNA_Glu_TTC
Rfam family: tRNA
About the family: Transfer RNA (tRNA) molecules are approximately 80 nucleotides in length.
Source: RNAcentral
GGCGGAUUAGUCAAGCGGUCAAGAUACUCGGCUUUCAAUCGAGUGGCGCACGGUUCAACUCCGGCAUCCGCUACCA